This 272-nucleotide long non-coding RNA is filed under the name Pan troglodytes (chimpanzee). RNAcentral's name for it is "long non-coding RNA NONPTRT009844". The record is from RNAcentral. Lineage: Eukaryota; Metazoa; Chordata; Mammalia; Primates; Hominidae.
GCCUGCCAGGCCUCUCACCUCUCUCCAGGCCUCUCACCUCUCUCCAUGCCUCUCACCUCCCUCCAGGCCUUCACACUCGCCUGCCAGGUCUCUCACCUCUCUCCAGGCCUCUCGCCUCUCUCCAGGCCUUCACACUCGCCUGCCAGGCCUCUCACCUCUCUCCAGGCCUCUCACCUCCCUCCAGGCCUUCACACUCGCCUGCCAGGCCUCUUGCCUCUCUCCAGGCCUCUCACCUCCAGUCUAACCACACUGUUUCCGCGAGGCCACAUCUG